Molecule: ribosomal RNA, 1235 nt
Filed under: Bacillus safensis
Lineage: Bacteria; Bacillati; Bacillota; Bacilli; Caryophanales; Bacillaceae
Description: bacterial SSU rRNA
Rfam family: Bacterial small subunit ribosomal RNA
Source: RNAcentral
CGGAUGUUAGCGGCGGACGGGUGAGUAACACGUGGGUAACCUGCCUGUAAGACUGGGAUAACUCCGGGAAACCGGAGCUAAUACCGGAUAGUUCCUUGAACCGCAUGGUUCAAGGAUGAAAGACGGUUUCGGCUGUCACUUACAGAUGGACCCGCGGCGCAUUAGCUAGUUGGUGGGGUAAUGGCUCACCAAGGCGACGAUGCGUAGCCGACCUGAGAGGGUGAUCGGCCACACUGGGACUGAGACACGGCCCAGACUCCUACGGGAGGCAGCAGUAGGGAAUCUUCCGCAAUGGACGAAAGUCUGACGGAGCAACGCCGCGUGAGUGAUGAAGGUUUUCGGAUCGUAAAGCUCUGUUGUUAGGGAAGAACAAGUGCGAGAGUAACUGCUCGCACCUUGACGGUACCUAACCAGAAAGCCACGGCUAACUACGUGCCAGCAGCCGCGGUAAUACGUAGGUGGCAAGCGUUGUCCGGAAUUAUUGGGCGUAAAGGGCUCGCAGGCGGUUUCUUAAGUCUGAUGUGAAAGCCCCCGGCUCAACCGGGGAGGGUCAUUGGAAACUGGGAAACUUGAGUGCAGAAGAGGAGAGUGGAAUUCCACGUGUAGCGGUGAAAUGCGUAGAGAUGUGGAGGAACACCAGUGGCGAAGGCGACUCUCUGGUCUGUAACUGACGCUGAGGAGCGAAAGCGUGGGGAGCGAACAGGAUUAGAUACCCUGGUAGUCCACGCCGUAAACGAUGAGUGCUAAGUGUUAGGGGGGUUUCCGCCCCUUAGUGCUGCAGCUAACGCAUGCCUGGGGAGUACGGUCGCAAGACUGAAACUCAAAGGAAUUGACGGGGGCCCGCACAAGCGGUGGAGCAUGUGGUUUAAUUCGAAGCAACGCGAAGAACCUUACCAGGUCUUGACAUCCUCUGACAACCCUAGAGAUAGGGCUUUCCCUUCGGGGACAGAGUGACAGGUGGUGCAUGGUUGUCGUCAGCUCGUGUCGUGAGAUGUUGGGUUAAGUCCCGCAACGAGCGCAACCCUUGAUCUUAGUUGCCAGCAUUCAGUUGGGCACUCUAAGGUGACUGCCGGUGACAAACCGGAGGAAGGUGGGGAUGACGUCAAAUCAUCAUGCCCCUUAUGACCUGGGCUACACACGUGCUACAAUGGACAGAACAAAGGGCUGCAAGACCGCAAGGUUUAGCCAAUCCCAUAAAUCUGUUCUACAAGUUGCGGAUCGCAGUCUGCAACUCG